This 107-nucleotide ribosomal RNA is filed under the name Aotus nancymaae (Ma's night monkey). The record is from RNAcentral. Lineage: Eukaryota; Metazoa; Chordata; Mammalia; Primates; Aotidae.
GUCUAUGGCCAUACCAGCCUGAAUGCACCCAAUCUCAUCUGAUCUUGAAAAAUAAGUGUAGGUAUGUUUAUUAUGCCCACAAGAUUAACAUUAGCAAACCGUAUGAA